UUCAACCGGGAAGGGAAACAGGGCAGAAAACAUCCUGUAGCCAAGAAGGCUCCACACCACAGACUGCUUGAAGAAAUGAAGAAGAUCACUUCAUCAGUUACCUUGCACCCCGUCAAUGUGCCUCAAAAAUCUGCUGCAGAAGAUUUAGGACUGAAUCCCAGAAGAAGAGUUCAACAAGGUCCUGGGAUUGAAAACAACAGCAGCAACAACAAAAAUCUCAUCUUCAGCUAGUUUUCUGGAAAAAUAAUGAAACUUUUUUAUUCAUGGAAGGGAUUCUUGGAUUCCUAGAUAGUACAUAAUUUUGUCUCCAUUUCAGGUUUGUAAUGCUGCUGGUACUGGCAAAAUAAAAGACAGAGUCUCCAUUA
Long non-coding RNA from Pantherophis guttatus, 365 nucleotides. RefSeq lists it as uncharacterized. The record is from RefSeq and is a predicted model, not a curated record. NCBI's taxonomy places the organism in Eukaryota, Metazoa, Chordata, Lepidosauria, Squamata, Colubridae.